UUGUAAUACGUUUUUCAGACCGUUGUUUUUCUUUCAUGAAUUGUUUUACAUUUGUCAUUUCAUGGCCUUUUGAAGAGGAGAAGCGAAAGAUACCAAAGUAGAAAAAAAACAGACAACAUCAUGUUUAAAAACGGAACAAAGACAAACAACAGUACACAAAACAUUAAAUAACAAAGAAAACUAAUGACUUAGUAGCACGAACCUAGUCAAAAACAGGGAUUAUCACAGGUGCACCGGAAAUGUAAGCAGAUCCUGCUACACAUGUGUUAUUACAAAACCGGAAAAUAUCAGGUAUUUGAUAUUGGAGAAAACGGGACAAAACUGUAAUUGCAUAUCAGCGGACAUCUGUAAAACAGACAUUCCAUAUCAGUCAGCUAACGUAUUUUCUGGUUGUUACGUCUGUAAAAUUUACGAAG
This 416-nucleotide long non-coding RNA is filed under the name Mytilus galloprovincialis (Mediterranean mussel). The record is from RNAcentral. Lineage: Eukaryota; Metazoa; Mollusca; Bivalvia; Mytilida; Mytilidae.